Non-coding RNA from Phalacrocorax carbo (great cormorant), 4587 nucleotides. Lineage: Eukaryota; Metazoa; Chordata; Aves; Suliformes; Phalacrocoracidae. The record is from RefSeq and is a predicted model, not a curated record.
AAAGGCGCAGCGCUGCGCCCGCCCUUCCCUGGGGGGGGGGCCCGGGGCGCUGCGGGGUCCCCUCGCCUGCAACCCCCUUCCUCGCAAUGGGGAGCGCUCGGGAGGGGCGCCCCGGUAGGGCUGGCGGGGGGCAGCGGCGCCUCCCGGGGAUGGUUACCUGCGAGGCAGCCGGUACCGGAGCGCUGCGGGCAGCGGCCGGAGGGGAGCGAGAGGCAUGGCCCGAGUUUUUUGGGAGCUCCGUGUAAACAUUCCUACCCCUCCUACCGAAUGGGGAGCGCGGACUAACGGAUGUUUUCUAAUGGCACAGAAGUGUUACACGGACGGCACGCUGUCAGCGCUGGGGAAAUUAAGGCAACAACACCAACCAGCCAACACACCUUGCCUUCUCUGCACAGGGGCUUUGCAGCCUUCCCUGUAGCACCAGGGCUGCAUCGCAACCACGGGUCCACUGCCGUGACCUUCUGACCACCCUCAACAGUCUGGGCACUGAACUGUGAGGAAACCAAAAGGAAUCAUGACAACCCCACGCUUUGUGUGUAAAUAUGAAAGAUCAAAGGACGCGCAUGUUGUUUGGCAGACCGUGGCUGUAAACGGUACCGCUGGCUGCAAGAAAGGAACGACUGUUACAGCAGGCAUCUCAGAAGCAAAGGCAAAGGAAGAAGUCUCUGACCUCUACCUCCCAAGCCAAGGAAAACAUGUUCCUGUAGUGCGUAGGUAUGGGAACGCACCACUGACCUCUGUCCUCAAACUCCUUCCAACCAGAACAACCUUUUAAUCCUAAAGAGCUUUUGUGCUGCAACCACAUCCAUGUCUUGGGCAGAGUUUUCUGUCUUGGCCUUAGCAAAGAUGCCUCAUCCUCAGACAGGCUGCUUCUCGACGCAGAGCGGAAUUUGCAAUCAGACACUAGGUUGCUACUGUGUAAUCUAUUAAAACCCAAAUCUUGUAAACUGAGGACUAAUAAGGAAAUUGCAAGUUUGUCACUGGCUCUUUCUUACAUGCUUCACUGACCAUCAGCUAAUGCAAAUGAACACCACAGACAUAUUGCUUGUAUAAUGUAAAGCAAAGAGCCACGUAAAUACAAUUUUUAGAAACACAUUUUUGCAAAAACAUUUGUAUUUGACCCUCUGAUGGAGGGAACAGGACAAUCAGACUGCAAGGGCGCUAAAGGAAAUUUUACUGGUUUUGAAAUAGAUGACUGGAAACUCAUCCCAAUGCCUUCAUGGAAACCUCAAGCCACUGUUAUCCCACUGACUAGAACUUUUUGUAGUAGCAGAUUAUAAGAAUAAACUACAUUUUCAGUAUAAGCACAUUUCCUUCAGGCAGGCAUCCUUUUUGUAGCAUACAAAAAAAAAAAACCCAACAACAAAAGGUCAAAAUGCAACUAGACCUCAGAUUUAAUUCAAUCUUUUAUUCAUCAUCAAAUUCAAAAGUUAGGAAGGGAAGCUGUCUUGGGAUCCUGCCUUGCCCUGAGAUACCUGUCUUACCCUUCUAAAAAACCUAUCACUUUACAUAAUUCCUGCGUAAGAUGACAAACGCUAUCUGUAAGACAUUGAAACACCCUUGUGGAGCUCUAACCCUUUUACUGGAAGUGAUCACUGCCCAGCCUGACAUGAGACACUCAUUAUUUUACCCCUUUUGUCAGAGGCCUCGAAUCAAUUGAUUCCUCAAGCUGUCAAUUAAAAACAUUUUAAAAACGUGUGAAAGACCCACACUUGUAAAACCAGGGUGGUUUUUGGUCGAACACAACCAGUCCAGGUAUGUAUACACACCCCAGCUGGAGAAUGUUAUCAUCUUUUCACCAGUUUCUUACGGAAUGGUUCUCAAAUUCUUAUCUGGGAUAAGUCCUCCUUACACGCAGUAAAUUAGAAGAGAUUUGAAUGGCACCUUCAAAUCUACUGCUCGACAUGCCGUGCUUGCAUGGGAGCUGUAGAAAAAAGCAGAAGAGUCUUUUUGCAGUUUCUUAGCUCAGCUUUAGAAAAAGUAGAGGUCUUUAAGAUGUAAUACAGCACUUGUACUACGAAACCAAGAACACAAACCCACAGUCAGUAGGCGUGCAGCAGCAGAAGCAAAGAGGCCGAAGCUCUGCUCGGCAAGCAGGAAGAGGAGGAGCUGCGUUACAGAGAGCAGGUCCCAGAGCCUCUCCGAACACCACUUGCAGAAAAAGCCUCAAGACAGACAAUGCCAAGACCAUGAACAGUCUUUACUUCUAUCAGUUGUUUCACAGCACAAUGAGACACAGCACAAAGUUUGUACAGCGGGAUCUGCAGACAGUUUAAAAACAGGCAAUUAUCUUUAAUAAAAAGCAUCGAGUCUGAAUGUGAAAAAAUAUGAAGACAAACAAUAUUGCAGCUAACGAUCACCUUGCUUGCCUUUGAUUGUCUAAGAAGUCCGACUCACUGCUUCUUAUAGUGCCUUUAAUGUUCUCCACACCAUCUUCUCCAAACACCCUAGUUAGAGGAAAGCUUAAUGGGUCCCAACUACCACGUGCAGUAUGUUUCACACCUUGUCCUCUUGCUUUCAAACCCUGUGUGCAGUGUGUGGGGAGAUGCAACGGCUCUCAUCGUACGACAUUCUGAUUCACAAAGAAGCAGCACAAGUGUUGUACAUAAUUUAAUUUGCACUUCCGUAUAUAAAUGUUUACUAUAUUGCACACUAUCGCAGCACUUAAAAACAUCUAGUUAUUUGCAAAAAUUAGUAAAAUACUUUAAAGGAUUUAAAAAUAAGGGUUUUAAUGCAACUGACAAGAUAAUAAAAAAAGCAAUUUACUUAAUGAGAUACAAUCCUUUAUGUUGGAAAUGAAAGUUACAUACAACUAGAGUACAAUUAAAAUAUACCAUAUAGUUCAACACUUAAUUCCUCAAAUGUGUAAAAUUAACAAGCGUCUACUGUCAUAGAUAUACAAUUUUUCCAUAUUGUGAAAAGGAUUUCUCAAAUUAAAUACAGGUAACAUAAUAUUCUGUAGUUAUAUUGUAUGACUGUGUUUAAAUGAGAGGGUUGUAUAAUACUCACAUUGUCAAAUGUACUCACUAAUGCCUUGGAAAUUGCACACUUCCCCUCCUUUUCCAAAAUAGGUUCUCAUUUCCAUACUGAAGUCUAUUAUGCCAUAUUGGAAAAGUAUUUUACUUUCUAACAGGAUUUUCAUAAAAUUAAAAAAUAGCAUAGUAUCAUGGCAUUAAGAUGACUUUUCCACUUAUGCCCACGUAGAAUUUAAUCUGGAUAUCAGACAGACACGUCAGAACCAAUUUCCUAGACUUUUGUCUUACUGUACACGCAAGAUGAAUGAUUACAGUAUUUUACAAAACAGAAAAAUGUCUGAACCUUACUAGAAUUAUAAAUGUAAUGAUUAAAAAUUAAAAUCAUAACAGAAUCAACUUGUGAUCUCCAACAUUUAUUAAAAUCUUUUAAAGUUCAUAAACGACAACAAAGUUACUGUAGAAUUUAUCGCAUACAGCUAGCAUACAGCAGCAUGUCCUUGGUCUAAAUGAAAUACAAAAGGUUUUAACGUUUUCAUACAAAGGAUUUCUUUAAAUUUAUUAAUGUGACGAUAUAUCUUUGUUACAUAAAAUUUGCUACAGCAAAGUAUCUUAUACUUUUCUUGCACAUACGGGUGGACAAAGACUGCGUUCAGUGUCAGCCUCCUAAUGACGUUGUGCAAAAAUGCUCAACACCCUAAACAUACAGAAUGUCGGAUGGUAUGUUUCAUACUCUUCUGUAAAAUGUCUACAAAGGCUUUUCUUGAAGGAGUGUCGUACAGAUUAAAAGGAAGGAAUGCCCGUGGAUUAUUUGCACCGGCAUUCAAACAAAUACAAUGGCUAUGUAUCAAUAUAGCUCUUUUUUAAUUUUUAAAAACAAUUCAUCCUUGUAUGCAUGUAAAUUUAUCAUAAAAUAUGAGGCUAGUUUAAACUGUUUAGAUGUGCUGUUUUUAAGACAGGUCACUGAGACAGCCAGAAUCAAGUGUACAAAUAAAAACUACUAUGAAUAAGUUUAAAAGCAACCCCCAAAAAAGUGCUGAGCCACUGAUUAUUAACAUUGAAAUAAAUGUGUAAAAGUGCCCAAAGCUAGCACAUGGUAGCAGUAUCUUUUAAGUCAGUUGGUGAGAGUAUACAAAACAUAAUUAAGCCCAAAUACUUAUAUCUGUGUGACCAUACAUUCUGUUUGAUUGAAAGAAAAGUAGGUUAGAAAUGAAGACACAAUGCAACUAAAAUAAACCCAGCUGUUGCAGUUUUUAAACUUUGUCUCUUUUCUUCAUGAAUGAAGUGCUGUAAUUAAAGAGAAAAUGAUUGUAGCAGUACUCCAUCCUCAGUUUACUAAUAUAGUAUACCAGAAUAAAACUUGGCAAUAACCUCUUAUUCUUAACAGCUAACAAAAAAUAACCGUGUUCAUCCAGCGAUGCAUCUAGAACAUUAUUUUGCAUUUGCUAAACCAUUUGUUUUUCACAGCUAAUGGCAGAGCGCAUUUCGCUUUUUGUGGGGUGGUGGUUUGGAUUUUAAUGAGUGCCUUUUUUAAUCAAAAAAGGCUCAAAACAAGGAAUACUUUUGGGAGCCCAAACAUUGGCUUUUUUAUUUAAAAAAAAAACAACAAAACAAC